UACAGAGGGGGCAAGCGUUGUCCGGAAUUAUUGGGCGUAAAGGGCGCGUAGGCGGCUUUCUAAGUCAGAUGUGAAAUCCCCCGGCUUAACCUGGGAACUGCGUCUGAUACUGGAGGGCUUGAGUGCGGGAGAGGGAUGUGGAAUUCCAGGUGUAGCGGUGAAAUGCGUAGAUAUCUGGAGGAACACCGGUGGCGAAGGCGGCAUCCUGGACCGACACUGACGCUGAGGCGCGAAAGCUAGGGUAGCAAACGGG
RNAcentral lists this ribosomal RNA (253 nucleotides) under uncultured bacterium. RNAcentral describes it as "partial 16S ribosomal RNA". It matches the Rfam family "Bacterial small subunit ribosomal RNA", at positions 524 to 776 of the family's 1533-position model. The record is from RNAcentral.